UACGUAGGGGGCAAGCGUUGUCCGGAAUCAUUGGGCGUAAAGCGCGUGUAGGCGGCUCGAUAAGUCUGCUGUGAAAGUCCAGGGCUCAACCCUGGAAUGCCGGUGGAAACUGUCGAGCUAGAGUCCGGAAGAGGCGAGUGGAAUUCCCGGUGUAGUGGUGGAAUGCGUAGAUAUCGGGAGGAACACCAGUGGCGAAGGCGGUUGCCUGGGGCUUUGCUGACGCUGAUGCGCGAAAGCGUGGGGAGCGAUCCGG
RNAcentral lists this ribosomal RNA (253 nucleotides) under uncultured bacterium. RNAcentral's name for it is "partial 16S ribosomal RNA". It matches the Rfam family "Bacterial small subunit ribosomal RNA", at positions 524 to 776 of the family's 1533-position model. The record is from RNAcentral.